Non-coding RNA from Cajanus cajan (pigeon pea), 4439 nucleotides. Lineage: Eukaryota; Viridiplantae; Streptophyta; Magnoliopsida; Fabales; Fabaceae. The record is from RefSeq and is a predicted model, not a curated record.
CAGAGUGACAGGGGGAGAGAAAGAAAGAGAGUGAGAUAACGAUCCGAAACCGCACUCCGAUCCAAAACCCUCUUCGAAAUCGCACUUCGAUCCGAAACCCUCUUCGAAACCGCACUUCGAUCCGAAACCUUAACCUAAGUUAACGUGCCUCGAUGGAGCUUCGUUCUUGUUGAUCCCUUUCCAAUCCCAUAGUUUCUGGGAUAUUGAUUAUCACAUUGCUCUUCAUGUUGCCGCGUGUGAGGGAUUCACUGAGGUCGUUGAGUUUUUGCUCCAGAAAGUUGCCGAAGUUGACGCCAAGGAUCGAUGGGGAAGCACGUGACUGUUCCAUGGUCUUUUGUACGGGCUAGGGAUGAUGUUGUUGUUGAAGAUGAAACUAAUGGCGAGUUUCUAUUGUAUCUUCAUAUUUGGAUAUAGUUUAUGAUCCUAAUUCAGGUUCUGACUUUGAAGAUACUAGGUAAAAUGAACAUUGUUGCAUGGGCUAGCAAAGAAGAGGAGGAUAAGGAUGCAUCUACUUCCUUGAAAACAAAAGCAGAAGCACCUAAGAGUGUCAUUGAAGUACGUGCAGUAGCAUGAGAGGAAGCUGAGAAGGCUAAGUAUAUGGCCAGGAAGAAUUUGUAGGGGAGGCUGAGUUGAUCAAAAGUAAGGGCUCAGGAGUUGAAGGAUUUUGUGAAAUCAAUUCCCCCCGAUCGUUGCGUUAUGGCCCACCAGCCAAAGAGGGGUGCAACCCCUCCGCCGCGGAGAUUGAGUUGAUGAACUCGUGGCUGAUCUUAUUCUCAUAUGGUGUGGACGGUGAUAUUGGUGGUGAGAACCGAUCCCAUGUGGUAUGUCAACUUCACGAAAUUAGAGGAACCCUUGUAUUUCUUGGAGUCUUUGAAGGCGUAAUCGGUGGUGUUCAUUUUGUUGUUCUGCGGUAGCCACGGCUGCCAUGCGGAGGCCGGAGCCGCGACGAGGAGGAGGAGGAGGGUGACUGAGAUGCGCGCCGUACUGGGUGGCGAUGAUGGCACAUUUUUUGGGGGGUUUAGGGUUUAGUAGUUGGGGUUAGUGAGGUGAGUAUGAAACGUGAUGUUUCAGUGGGCGAAGGUUCUUUAGAGAACCGGUUGCAUCACCACCGGCGGCUUGCCCUUUGCGAUUUUAUCAAGGAUUGACUAUUCUUUUUGUGGUUAUUUAAAUUGUUUUUGCUUUGUAAAAUCACACUUUGUAAUUUGAUCAAGGAUCACUACUAACUAUAGCUUUGGAAAUGGGUGUCUAUUUUUUGACCCUGCACUUUCUAUAUUUGGAAAUGGUGGUAACUUUGUCAUUAUUCAAGACGCUUUUGAUAGGUACAAAGGGAUCUUGUUUAAGCAUGGUGACAUGUUCUAUUUUCUCAACCCUGGACCUUCUCUCUCUGUUAAUGGUGCUGCCUCUACCAUUGUUCGAGAUGCUUUUGAUAAAUACAAAGGGAUCUUGUUCAAGCAUGGUGACAGGUUCAAUUUUCUCAACCCUACACUUUCUCUCUCUAGAAAUGGUGUUGCCUCUGCCAUUGUUCGAGAUCCUUUUGAUAGAUACAAAGGGAUCUUGUUUAAGCACGGUGACAGGUUCGGUUUUCUCCGAACACUUAGGCCUGCCUAUGAUGUUUCCCAAAUGAACAUCAUUGUUCUUUCCGAUAUUGAAGAGGUGUGCCUUUUUAAAUUAUUUUUUGAUUUCCCUUUUAUGGCUUUUGAUCAAGAUUUUCAGAAUGAUAGUGAUUCUGUUGUUGAAGUUCUUGUUCUUUUACAUAAUAAAUCUGGUCCUUGUUAGAGGUAUGAUGAUGUCUUUUUGUAUACUCAUUCUCUUCCUUGAUUGGUUUUCUAUUGACAAAUUUUGUACAUCAACAUUGUAGAAAUAAGGGCUUUUCCAGAUUAAGUCAGUAGCGAGUCUCACCAUCUCUUCUUGCCUUCCUUUUAGUUUCCUCUUAUAUUGUUAAGGCUUCUUUUGAUGUGAAAAGAUAUAUUAUUAUGAUUCCAGGUGUAUAUGCUUCGAUUACAAACAUAAUAAUUAUUGAUCUUGGUGUUCAUAAAUUUGAGUUUGUUUUUUAUGGAUUUCUUGCAGGUCCAAUUUGACACCAUGGAUUUAUCUGACAAUGAGAUUGUCAAAUUGGAAAAUGUGCCAUGAUCUUAACCGGUUGGGUACAAAGCUCAUUAGUAACAAUAGGAUUACUAGAAUUAAUCUCAACAUUGGAGGUCUGGUUUGAACUUUGAAAUGCACAUCCUCUUUCCAUUAGUGAUGUCUUUCCUUCUAGUUGUAAGCUACACAACGUGGUUAUCUAGAUUAUUGUUGCAUUUGUAUUGUAGAAUUUUUGCCAAAACUAGACACUAGUUCUCACAAACAACAGAAUUGUAAACUUGGUAGAAAUUGAUCCUUUAGCAUCCCUUUCAAAGCUGCAGUUACUUGGUCUGUCAGACAACAAUAUUACAAAGAAAGCAAAUUGCAGGCUUUAUGUUAUUAACAAGCUGAAAUCCCUCCGGGUUUUGGAUUUCAAGUAAUUGAAAUAUAAGGUAAUGUUUUAUUUUUCACCAUGUAGAUUUUAUUGGCUUGUUGUUUGCAAUAUGAAAGAUAGGAUGUUCCGGUAAUGUUUCCGUUCAAUUAGAAAACAGAACUACCCCUGGCUUGCUCUGAACACCAAGUCCAAGUGCGGAAAUUUUACUACAUAUAGAUGUAGAUUAUAAAACAGAUUAGAAAACAAUUGUUUGUUACUUGUCCCAUGAAUUUGUACAUUGUCUCUGAAGUGAUAUAGAUUUUCUGUUUCUGUACACAUAAAAGAAGAAAAAUUCUCUUAUCUAUUUUUUCUAACUGGACUGCCUCUGCCACCUAAAUGUUUAUAUAACUUAAAAAUUACCAUCUUUAUGUUGAUUUGGGUCUAUUGUCACCCCUGUUGUUGAUGCGGUGGUGUUUUUUGUAGCUAUAAGCAAGUCUUGGCAACUGCAAAUUAACAUGAAACCAAAUUGCCACAAAUAGAAAUAGAUUCCAUAAAUUAUAUGUACCAUGUAUAUUGUGCUUUCUAAGAAUACCAUUGACUGCAGAGAAUCCUCAUCCUUAGUGAUCCUAGUUCCCUAAAUUAGUUAAAACAUAACGCAUUAGUUAAAAUUAAGGGUUAAGAUUCAAACUUCUUACGAUUCAAAAUUCUUUCAAAAUUAACGCAUUAGUUCCCUAAAUUAGUCAUUAUUUGUCUUUGUAUUCUCAAACUUUUUUAAAACCUCAGGCAGAUUCAUAUCAACUGAUUGGUGACAUUUCCCAAAUGAACAUCACUGUUCAUUCCGACAGUGAAGAGCUGAGCCUUUUUCAAUUAUUUUUUGAUUUCCCUUUUCUGGGUAUUGAUCAAGAUUUUUAGAUUGGGAACUUGUGUUGCAGUUUCAACUUGGAGUGGAUGAAAGAAAGCUACAAUCUGCCUGUUUCAAGACCCCGGGUGCAUUUUGGUAACGGGCAAGUUUCAAUUGAGGACCAAUUUGACACCAUAGAUUUAUGCCGCAAUGAGAUUGUCAAACUGGAAAACGUGCCAUAUCUUAACCGGUUGGUUACAAAGCUCACGUGUAACUAUGAUUUCUAGAAUUAAUCCCAACAUUGGAGGUCCAAUUUAAUACCGGACUCCUAUAUCAACAAACCAAAUUCAAAUUCAACCUUCUCGAAGAAGAGAGUGAGCAUUAUGCAAAGCUGCUGUUGGCUUGAAGUGAAAAAGGCGUGAGAUCCCACCUGAUAUCUCACAAGAUUACACUAUUUUUAGUUGUCCUAGGGAAGGAGGAGCAGCCUAGGGAUGAUGUUGUUGUUGAAGAUGAAACUAAUGGCGGGUUUCUAUUGUAUCUUCAUAUUUGGAUAUAGUUUAUGAUCCUGAUUCAGGUUCUGACUUUGAAGAUACUAGGUAAAAUGAACAUUGUUGCAUGGGUAGCAAAGAAGAGGAGGAUAAGGAUGCAUCCACUUCCUUGAAAACAAAAGCAGAACCACCUAAGAGUGUCAUUGAAGCACGUGCAGUAGCAUGGGAGGAAGUUGAGAAGGCCAAGUAUAUGGCCAGUUGUGGCAGCUGUUGGCUUGAAGCGAAAAAGGCUUGAGAUCCCACCUGAUGUCUCACAAGAUUACACUAUUUUUAGUUGUCCUAGGUACGUGCCAAAUUCCAUAAUGAUUUUCUUGCCAUCUCUAAAUUUAACUUGAACGUAGUAGUAUCUAUCUAUUAAGGGGAAUUGGAGCAUACACAAUUUUUUGUUAAAAUUAUUUAUAAAUCAUACUGAAUUGCAUUGCUCAUCUGUUUUGUUUUAAUUUUCUCAAUUUUUUUUCUUCUUGUUUUUUAGAAUGCUGAAGAUGUAUUGCCUCUAUGCUAAUCUUGUAAUGUUUCUACCAUGCUAAUCAUGGGCAUUUCUUAUGCUUAAAACCUAGCAAUUCUAUCAAUAAAUUCAUUUUAUUAAUAGUUUUUAUUUAUUUAUUUUCAUCAAUUA